RNAcentral lists this unclassified non-coding RNA (21 nucleotides) under Chlamydomonas reinhardtii. RNAcentral's name for it is "small RNA Cre_1828". Lineage: Eukaryota; Viridiplantae; Chlorophyta; Chlorophyceae; Chlamydomonadales; Chlamydomonadaceae. The record is from RNAcentral.
GGAGGUUUGCAGCGUGGCAAU